This is a long non-coding RNA of Zonotrichia leucophrys gambelii, 952 nucleotides long. RefSeq lists it as uncharacterized. The record is from RefSeq and is a predicted model, not a curated record. The transcript has 3 exons. NCBI's taxonomy places the organism in Eukaryota, Metazoa, Chordata, Aves, Passeriformes, Passerellidae.
GGCUGUGCUAUGAGGAAGGAGUCAGUGCUGUGAGGAGCUGCCCAUGAGAAGACUUGAGAGCACCAAACUGAGUUGGUGCUGUUGACACACCUGAAGAAUGGGAUGCCAUCCAGAGGAACCCGGACAAAGACAAGAAGGGAGCCAAUGGGAACUACAUGCAGUCUAACAAGACCAAGCAGAAGAUUUAAAGGGAGUUCAGAUGUCCAGUACUCUGUUCAGCACACAGAUAAACAAUGCCAUGGAGGUCAAUGCCAUGCCAUCUCAAGUACACCACUUUGCCCUCCUCCAGAAGACCCCAGGUUCAGCAUCCAAUAUUUCAGGCCGGUCCAGAUAACUUAGGGUAACUCGUGUUUUUGUGCUGUCACAAUUUCAUAAUUUGUGCUGUGAUCCAAUAAAGCAGCUCCACGUAUGGGUACCUGGAAUGGGAUAUGCAGUUCAAGAUUAUCAGCUCUCAAUGUAGAUUUACUGUGUGCAUGUGAGCUCUUUUGUAGGCACCAUUUGUUAUAGUCAGAGGUGAUCUAUGGCAUCAUAUGAUUCCCACAGAGGAAGCUAGUGCCUUUUGAGGUACCCCGAGAUAUUCUAAGGUAUCUGAGAGGUCUGCAAAGGGCUGCAAGAUAGGAUAAAUUCUUCUUUUAUGUUCCUCUGGAUAGGAAGGUAAAGGCCAGCUCCUCAGAAACAGCUCAGGAUAUCUCAGGUAUCCUCGGGUGCCCAACUGAUUUGUACUUAGGAAAAGCAAUGUAUCUUUCCAGAGAAUCUGCUCAGUCUGUUGUAGACACCUGGUGUCUUCUCACCUGAAUAAUUUCCUAAGCUUAAUUGAAUGAGGGUUUAUAAUUUUGUCUAAACACAACUCUAUAUUGACAUUUGAAAUUAUCUAGUAUUUCUUGUCCAAGGGUACACAUAAUAUUAUAAUUCACAACCACCCUCUAAAAAACCUCAAUGUAAAGAUUUUAUU